This 641-nucleotide ribosomal RNA is filed under the name Curtobacterium sp. PCAM11. RNAcentral describes it as "bacterial SSU rRNA". It matches the Rfam family "Bacterial small subunit ribosomal RNA", at positions 69 to 722 of the family's 1533-position model. The record is from RNAcentral. Lineage: Bacteria; Bacillati; Actinomycetota; Actinomycetes; Micrococcales; Microbacteriaceae.
AUGAUGCCCAGCUUGCUGGGUGGAUUAGUGGCGAACGGGUGAGUAACACGUGAGUAACCUGCCCCUGACUCUGGGAUAAGCGUUGGAAACGACGUCUAAUACUGGAUAUGACUGCCGGCCGCAUGGUCUGGUGGUGGAAAGAUUUUUUGGUUGGGGAUGGACUCGCGGCCUAUCAGCUUGUUGGUGAGGUAAUGGCUCACCAAGGCGACGACGGGUAGCCGGCCUGAGAGGGUGACCGGCCACACUGGGACUGAGACACGGCCCAGACUCCUACGGGAGGCAGCAGUGGGGAAUAUUGCACAAUGGGCGAAAGCCUGAUGCAGCAACGCCGCGUGAGGGAUGACGGCCUUCGGGUUGUAAACCUCUUUUAGUAGGGAAGAAGCGUAAGUGACGGUACCUGCAGAAAAAGCACCGGCUAACUACGUGCCAGCAGCCGCGGUAAUACGUAGGGUGCAAGCGUUGUCCGGAAUUAUUGGGCGUAAAGAGCUCGUAGGCGGUUUGUCGCGUCUGCUGUGAAAUCCCGAGGCUCAACCUCGGGCUUGCAGUGGGUACGGGCAGACUAGAGUGCGGUAGGGGAGAUUGGAAUUCCUGGUGUAGCGGUGGAAUGCGCAGAUAUCAGGAGGAACACCGAUGGCGAAGGC